AUAUCUCAGGCUGAUCUAAAAGAACUGGAAACAAAAAAGAAGAUUUCCCAGGUGAUCUGGGCAGCCUCUACCAAUGUGAUGCGAAUGAUGAGAAUGUGAUGGCGAAGAUGAGGAGCCCCUGACAAACGUAGUCGGGAAUGACGAAAACUGUCCAGCAGCAACAGAACCCUGGUGGACCAGAUGACCUUAGAAAACACAAAAUCAAUGUGCAAAAAUCAUGAGCAUUCCUAUACACAAAUAACAGACAAACAGAGAGCCAAAUCAUGAGUGAACUCCCAUUCACAAUUGCUUCAAAGAGAAUAAAAUACCUAAGAAUUCAACUUACAAGGGAUGUGAAGGACCUCUUCAAGAAGAACUACAAACCACUGCUCAAUGAAAUAAAAGAGGACACAAACAAAUGGAAGAACAUUCCAUGCUCAUGGAUAGGAAGAAUCAAUAUCAUGAAAAUGGCCAUACUACCUAAGGUAAUUUAUAGAUUCAAUGCCAUUCCCAUCAAGCUACCAAUGACUUUCUUCACAAAACUGGAAAAAACUACUUUAAAGUUCAUAUGGAACCAAAAAAGAGCCCUCAUUGCCAAGACAAUCAUAAGCAAAAAGAACAAAGCUGGAGGCAUCACACUGCCUGACUUUAAACUAUGCUACAAGGCUACAGUAACCAAAACAGCAUGCUGCUGGUACCUAAACAGAGAUAUAGACCAAUGGAACAGAACAGAGGUCUCAGAAAUAACAAUACACAUCUACAACCAUCUGAUCUUUGACAAACCUGACAAAAACAAGCAAUGGGGAAAGGAUUCCCUAUUUAAUAAAUAGUGCUGGGAAAACUGGCUAGCCAUAUGUAGAAAGCUGAAACUGGAUCCCUUCCUUACACCUUAUACAAAAAUUAAUUCAAGAUGGAUUAAAGACUUACAUGUUAGACCUAAAACCAUAAAAACCCUAGAUGAAAACCUAGGUAAUACCAUUCGGGACAGAGGCAUGGGCAAGGACUUCAUGACUAAAACACCAAAAGUAAUGACAACAAAAGCCAAAAUAGACAAAUGGGAUCUAAUUAAACUGAAGAGCUUCUGCACAGGAAAAGAAACUACCAUCAGAGUGAACAGGCAACCUACAGAAUGGGAGAAAAUUUUUGUAGUCUACUCAUCUGACAAAGGGCUAAUAUC
Homo sapiens (human) is the source of this 1156-nucleotide long non-coding RNA. NCBI's taxonomy places the organism in Eukaryota, Metazoa, Chordata, Mammalia, Primates, Hominidae. The record is from Ensembl.